This 465-nucleotide ribosomal RNA is filed under the name uncultured bacterium. RNAcentral describes it as "partial 16S ribosomal RNA". It matches the Rfam family "Bacterial small subunit ribosomal RNA", at positions 28 to 507 of the family's 1533-position model. The record is from RNAcentral.
GACGAACGCUGGCGGCGUGCUUAACACAUGCAAGUCGAACGGAAAGGCCCCUUUGGGGGUACUCGAGUGGCGAACGGGGGAGUAACACGUGAGUAACCUGCCCUUGACUUCGGGAUAACUUCAGGAAACUGGGGCUAAUACCGGAUAGGAAUCCUUGCUGCAUGGUGGGGGUUGGAAAGCUUCGGCGGUUUUGGAUGGACUCGCGGCUUAUCAGCUUGUUGGUGGGGUAGUGGCUUACCAAGGCUUUGACGGGUAGCCGGCCUGAGGGGGCGACCGGCCACCUUGGGACUGAGAUGCGGCCCAGACUCCUACUGGAGGCAGCAGUGGGGAAUCUUGCACGAUGGGCGGAGGCCUGAUGCAGCAACGCCGCGUGCGGGAUGACGGCCUUCGGGUUGUAAACCGCUUUCAGCAGGGGCGAAGCUUGUGGUGACGGUACCUGCAGAAGAAGCACCGGCUAACUACGUG